This 3575-nucleotide long non-coding RNA is filed under the name Fragaria vesca (wild strawberry). Its description in RNAcentral is "long non-coding RNA (FVES_LNC002116)". The record is from RNAcentral. Lineage: Eukaryota; Viridiplantae; Streptophyta; Magnoliopsida; Rosales; Rosaceae.
GAGAUAAUGGCUCUUGGGACACAGCUGGGUAAGACGAAUAUUGCUGCCUGGGCUAGCAAAGAAGAGGAUAAAGAUGCAUCAACAUCAGUAAAAUCUGCAGCAUCAUAACAACUAGCUAGGAGUAUUAUUGAGACACGUGCAGCAGCAUGGGAGGAGGCUGAGAAAGCCAAGUAUUUGGCUAGGUUAGUAUAUGCAUGCCCUUUGUGUUUUCUUCACUGAUUUCCAUUUUGAAACCCCUAGAAUACUAAAUGUUUUAAUCUCUGUCUAUAUAUCUAUAGAUAGAGAUAGCUAAAGCUUUAAAAGUAUACUAAUACUCUGAAGACUGAGGAAUGUUGCAAUGGUAGGAGAUGGAUUUCAGGCACAUAUUAACUAUAGAAGUAAAUUUCAGUAAGGUCAAAAGAUGGAUGAAAUGAAUUCCAUCUCUUACAAUUGUAACUUGAUUGUUGGCUCAUCAGAGUCAUUAUGCUCUGGUUGUUCUAUGUUACAAUUCAUGCUGUAAUGAUAACUGUAAUUGUCCAGGUUUAAACGUGAAGAGAUGAAAAUUCAAGCGUGGGAGAAUCAUCAGAAAGCUAAAUCAGAAGCAGAGAUGCAGAAAGUCGAGGUACUUUAUUCAACGAGCUUCCUUCAAUGACCUGUUAGUGAACUCAAAUUUCUAAUCGAUGGAGUCUCUUGAUUUAUUGAAACUGACGGCCGUUAUUUCCAGGUAGAAAUUGAAAGGUUAAGGGGACGGGCACACAGUAAGCUAAUGAAUAAAAUAGCAGCUGCAAGGCAUAAGGCUCAAGAAAAGCGGGCAUCGGCGGAGGCCAAGAAAAACCAGCAAGCUGCAAAAACGGAGCAACAAGCAGAGCACAUUCGCAGAACUGGUCGGGUCCCUACCACAUUUUUGUGGUUGGGGUUGGUGCUCUUGAUGUUCGAGUCACUUGUUGGCCAUAUCAACACAUCUAUUUCUAUUCUUAAUCGUCUCAACGCGUCCGAUAACCACAAAGUCCUCCCUCUGAAGAAUACAAAGUGGAGUCCCAACCUUGAUGCCUUGAAGACCUUUAACCCGCACAAUAAUUGGAUAUUUCCUGUGGAAAACACCUUUUGGUAAAAUCUUGAGCUUACAUGGAAAGACAGCUUCCUUGUCUGCAGCAGCUAACUCCUUCUCCUUUUCCUCCUUGGGGUUUUUCAUAUAGGCCUUAAUCACCUCAUGAAUUAUAUCACCAACAAAAAUGCCAAGAUCUUCUUUUCAAGCAUCACACUGGCCUUCUUCACCCACAGUUGCUCUCUCUCAAGCAAGUUCCCUUGAACUUGUGACUCAGAGUCUCACAAGUUCCUGCUUCUGCAACCAUUGCAUUUGGCCCCAUCCCUACAUUUUAAACACAAACAUUAGUAUUCAUAGUUUCAUACAAAAAGUUCAUUUACAUCUAGUAAUAGAGAUUAAAACAGUGAGAAAAUCAGAAGGAUGUUGCUCAUAUAUGAUUAUACCAGAAGCAUGAGAGCAACAAAGAAAAGUCGAAAGAUAAGCUUCCUCCUCCACAGCAGCUAGCUCCUUCUCCUUUUCAUCCUUGAGGUUUUUCAUAUAGGCCUCAAUCACCUCAUGCAUUAUAUCACCAACAAAAAUCUUCACACCCAAUUUAUCUGCUAGUUUCUGGGCCUCGGGUGUCACUUUGACCUCAAAUGCCAAGAUCUUCUUUUCAAGCAUCACAUUGGCCUUCUUCACGAACCGGAAUAUCAACUUCUUGAGCCUUCAGAAACUCUAGCAUUGCUUCCAAAGAGCCUUGAGCUGAUGCUUGUGCACAUACACCUUUGUCUCCAGAACUGCUGUUACCACCACUCAUGUUGUCGUUCACUAGAACACAAUUCAUCAUGUCUUCCAUAGCUGCUUCCUUGAUUUCUUCCAAGUCAACAUCAGGCCUUAUGACAUAGAGAGCAGUGCCAGCAAUAGCAUGUUUAAACCCCUGUGGUGAUGUGAUCUUGAUAGCCUGUGCAGCUCUGAUUUCACUAUGAUGCUGAUACUUUCCCUUCACACAAAGCUCAUUAACCAAUAUAACAUCAAUUGUUGUCCCAUUAACCAAUAUAACAUCAAAUGUUGUCCCAAGACCUUCAACAUAAUUGACCUCCAACAAUGUACACCGCACUUCAUUGAUGUAAGUAAACUUCUCAGCCAUGGAUUUCUGAGACCAAUAGACCAUCAGUGACAACAAAUCAGGAAUGUCUUCACCACUCUUGGCACUUAUAGGUACAAUGCUGUGUGUAUCCCUCAUUCUUUUGUUCUCAUCCAAAUUCAAUUUCAUAUUGAUCCCCUGCGCCUUGAACUGAGUGAUAUCUCCUCAACUUUCUUAUUGACUGAUAUUUCACAUCCUUUCACAUCCUUGUUGACAAUUGGUGCAUUUGGACAAGGAUUCCACCCGCAGAGCCUGUCCACCUUAUUCAAUUGCAACAUUGCAUAAACAAUGCCUGGUAGGAGUUUUAAAACCAAAACCUUGAUAUCUUUACUGAAGACCAUUUUAAAACAUGUUUAACCAAAAACUUAUAUUGGAACCCAAUGUGUAACAGUAGUUAGAAGUAAGAACAGUAACUUGAUGGUUAAAAGGAAAUUGCAGCUUAGAGGAAAUUUUUCUCAAAACAUACAUAACAGACCAAAGCAAUAGAAGGAUACCUAAAUGUCCUUGCUCAAAAUAUAAGCUGAAUCAAACUGACCAUGGACAUAUCUACCAUAUACAACGUGUUAAUCAAUCCAGAUAGAAUAACACUAAGGCUGCUUAUCACCCCCAGCUUAGUCAGUUUAUUAUCAGCAGUGCUGCCAAUAAUGUUUCAUUGAAUUUGAAACAUACAGAGGAAGUUCAUGGACAUUACCUGGAGGAGUAGCCACGAACACAACUCUAUUCUCUUUAGUGAUUCCGAAAACAUCUUUCAGCACCGGGAAUGAGUUUUUCUUCUCAAACCUCCUCAUUUUCUUAUACACUUGUCAAAAAACCGACAAUGCCAUUCGGCUCGCUCAGCUUUAUCUCCUCGAUCCACUCCGCCCAAGUCACAAACAACUCCGAAAAAAGUAACAAUCUGGCACAGGCUACCGUGAAUCCUACUACUUCUUUUACAGCAGAGGCUGGCCUGCCUGCAUAGUAGCCGGUCCGGGCUUGAAGAAAUUAGGUGCCGGUCUGGGACCAUGCCCAACCCUAAUAAACAGCUCGCUUAAAAGAAGGACAACUUGGUCAUUUCUCAAACCAUACCUAAAAAUCGAUGUGUGAGAGAAACACACUGUGCAACGAUGAGUGGGAACCCCCCGGCGAGUUCAAAGAGGGUUGUGUGGGUACCAAAAGCAGCGACCGGGAAUCCUUCUACCCCGACCGUGAAUCCUACUACCCUUGCCGUGAAUCCUACUACCCUUACCGCCGUGAAUCCUCUAACGCCUGCUGUGAAUCCUACUACUUCUAGCGCCACGAUUGUGCAGAGUGCGAUUCUGUGGAGUGAGUUAUCGUGUUACAGACUCAAAGCUGCAGCUUUUCAGUUCCUCGAAGGUUUUUGGUUCCAAAGUUCAAUCGCACCUACUAUGUGUACGAUAACAACAUUGAGGGUACGGCACGGCGGGCCCA